UACGUAGGCAGCAAGCGUUGUUCGGAAUUACUGGGCGUAAAGAGUACGUAGGUGGUUUGCCAAGUCCGAUGUGAAAUCUCCUGGCUUAACUGGGAGGGUGCGUUAGAUACUGGCAGGCUUGAGUGUGGGAGAGGAGAGCGGAAUUCCUGGUGUAGCGAUGAAAUGCGUAGAUAUCAGGAGGAACGCCUGUGGUGUAGACGGCUCUCUGGACCAUUACUGACACUGAGGUACGAAAGCGUGGGUAGCAAACAGG
RNAcentral lists this ribosomal RNA (253 nucleotides) under uncultured bacterium. RNAcentral describes it as "partial 16S ribosomal RNA". It matches the Rfam family "Bacterial small subunit ribosomal RNA", at positions 524 to 776 of the family's 1533-position model. The record is from RNAcentral.